GUAGGUGGCGAGCGUUGUCCGGAUUUACUGGGCGUAAAGAGCGCGCAGGCGGCUGGUCAAGUCCGAUGUGAAAGCUCCCGGCUUAACUGGGAAAUUGCAUCGGAAACUGAUCGGCUGGAAGGUGGGAGAGGGUAGCGGAAUUCCCGGUGUAGUGGUGAAAWGCGUAGAUAUCGGGAGGAACACCAGUGGSGAAAGCGGCUACCUGGCCCAUUCUUGACGCUGAGGCGCGAAAGCUAGGGGAGCAAACGGGAUUAGAUACCCCGGUAGUCCUAGCCGUAAACGAUGAACACUAGGSGUAGUCGGUAUCGACCCCGGCUGUGCCGUAGCUAACGCAUUAAGUGUUCCGCCUGGGGAGUACGGCCGCAAGG
This 368-nucleotide ribosomal RNA is filed under the name uncultured bacterium. RNAcentral's name for it is "bacterial SSU rRNA". It matches the Rfam family "Bacterial small subunit ribosomal RNA", at positions 527 to 893 of the family's 1533-position model. The record is from RNAcentral.